UUUAUUUGAAGAGUUUGAUCAUGGCUCAGAUUGAACGCUGGCGGCAAGCCUCAUACAUGCAAGUCGAACGAGA
RNAcentral lists this ribosomal RNA (73 nucleotides) under Gammaproteobacteria bacterium TMED112. RNAcentral describes it as "partial 16S ribosomal RNA". It matches the Rfam family "Bacterial small subunit ribosomal RNA", at positions 1 to 71 of the family's 1533-position model. Lineage: Bacteria; Pseudomonadati; Pseudomonadota; Gammaproteobacteria. The record is from RNAcentral.